GUAGCAGGGAUAGUAAGGUGCUUGCAUGCGGCUGUCGUGACCUGUGUUCAAGUCCUCUCAAGAUAGAAAAUAGUGCCCCCGGAUAAUAAGGUGCUUGCAUGCGACUGCCGUGGCCCCAUGUUCAAGUCCUCUCAAAUUUAAUACUUCCCUGACUUACCGAGUGUACCAUUGGGGCGGUACUCUACAUCCCCAGGUUUGUAACCUUGAGUUGGUCCCGAAGGAGCUGCCAAGGGAAGUUCCUGUUGCUAACCAAAAAUAUAUAUAUUUAUAUAUAUUUCAUUUUUCAAGUCUUAUGGGAGACAUCUUUUCCUUUUUUAGAAAUGCAUCUUGCAUCUCCCCGCUCUUCUAUCCAUUUUUUAUAUUUUUAGGUUUGAAAACUUGCUAGUUUCUAAAAUCUUGUAAUCUCCGGUAAGAGAUUAAAACACUGUUUUGUCAAACUCUAUCUAGGGCGUUGGAAUCCAAUUCCAAACUCAUCAAGGGUUUCAGGCAACCAUUGGAUCGGAGGAUACAAUGGCAGAAAUUCGUAUCGAAAUACUGUUGUUUUCAGCAAUGAGAGAGAGCUUGGCUUAUUAUUUCUCUGAAGUUUAGACUACAGUAAUUGUGGCCUACUCUCUAGGUGAAAAACUAACCAAGGAGCCCUCUUUAUAUCCUUCUGUGGGCACUGUUGCUGCAUUCUUCUGCUAGUUCAAGAUCCCGACCAGGGUCGAAAGCAGUAAAUGCCAUACACUUGAGGCUGUAAUUUACUUUCAGACCAUGCCCUCGAUCCUUGUACCUUAUUAUGCUUCCUUUUCAGUUUGUCUUCCUUACUCUUCUUCCUCUCUCCAAUUCUUUAUUGUGAUACCAUGUGACUUGAGCUUGCUGGAAGGUAGCUAGCUACCCAUCAUUCAAAUCCUUAGUUUGGUGGUGUCAAUCUAAUACGUUGUUAAUGCUUUGAUGACUUUCAUAAGAUUGUUUGUUCAUAUUCGUCGAAGGCUCGUUUGGAGGAAAGGACCUGCUAGCUAGCUAGCUUUGCAUUUAUUGGCACCCUUGGGUGUUUAUAGGCCACUCGCACCUCCUUAUUUUUCAAAGUUUCUCUAUAUUAUUGGUCGGUCAAGUUUCCUUUUUCCUUUUAAAAUUUAUAGAAUAGUGCACCAAUUCUUAA
This is a long non-coding RNA of Cornus florida, 1141 nucleotides long. RefSeq lists it as uncharacterized. The record is from RefSeq and is a predicted model, not a curated record. The transcript is spliced from 4 exons. NCBI's taxonomy places the organism in Eukaryota, Viridiplantae, Streptophyta, Magnoliopsida, Cornales, Cornaceae.